GAUGAACGCUGGCGGCGUGCCUAAUACAUGCAAGUCGAGCGAACAGACGAGGAGCUUGCUCCUCUGACGUUAGCGGCGGACGGGUGAGUAACACAUGGAUAACCUACCUAUAAGACUGGGAUAACUUCGGGAAACCGGAGCUAAUACCGGAUCAUAUAUUGAACCGCAUGGUUCAAUAGUGAAAGACGGUUUUGCUGGCGGUUAUAGAUGGAUCUGCGCCUUAUUAGCUAGUUGGUAAGGUAACGGCUUACCACGGCUUCGCCGGGUAGCCGGCCUGGGAGCUUGACCGCCCACCUUGGUCCUGAGAUAGGGACCAGACUCCUACGGGAGGCAGCAGUGGGGAACAUUGCGCAAUGGGCGGAAGUCUGAUGCAGAAAUCCCGCGUGCGGGAUGACGGCCUUCGGGUUGUAAACAGCUUUCGACUGUGCCAAAGCGUGAGUGACGGUAAUGGGUCAAGAAGCACCGGCUAACUACGUG
This 477-nucleotide ribosomal RNA is filed under the name uncultured bacterium. Its description in RNAcentral is "partial 16S ribosomal RNA". It matches the Rfam family "Bacterial small subunit ribosomal RNA", at positions 28 to 507 of the family's 1533-position model. The record is from RNAcentral.